RNA transcript from Homo sapiens (human), 7937 nucleotides. It is a transcript of the gene named armadillo repeat containing X-linked 4, with no coding region annotated. The transcript has 16 exons. The record is from RefSeq and is marked validated. Lineage: Eukaryota; Metazoa; Chordata; Mammalia; Primates; Hominidae.
GAAGAGGCUGUCGGGAAAUGGCGGCCGCGGCCGGGCUGGGGCUUCAGCGGGAGGCAGCAGAGGGGAAGUGGUCAGCGUGGCGAAUGACGGAAGAAACUCGCAUUGUCUACUGGAUCAAGGACAGACAGCUCACCAACCGUGACAGCACCAUACUGGAACUUCAAAAAGUUCUGAAAACAUGUUGUGCUCAGAGCAUGAAAAUUUUCUGCUGUCUUUGGAACUUUGUCUACAAACAGUUAGAAGAUGCAGCCCAAGGGCUCACCAUGGGUGGCGAUGUUGAAGAACAUGAAGACCUUACUGCUGAUAGCACCAUCUUCAAAUUUGUGGAAGCUUAUUAGUUCGGUGUAGCACUGUUUGCGGCGAGGAGAAAGGAAGGAGAGGAGAAAACUGCACUGGAUCAAGGAGGUCUUCCCAUAGGCCUGCAGUAGGGCUGUUUACCAUUGGAAGCAAGGGAAAGAGGAGGAGAUCAAUCUAGAAGCAUGGAGAUCUGCCUGCAUGUCUGCUGCAGGGCUUAAGAUCACUGGAAGCAAAGAAACAAAGAGGAGAUUGCUCCUGAUCAGUAUAGACUGGUCCAGAGAUCUCAUGAAUUUAUGUAUCUACUUUAGGGUGUACUGCCAAGAGAAGCAAGAGGAGAGGAGGGAACUGCCUCGGAUCAUUACAGGUCCACCUCCAGAGGCAGCUGUAGUGGCCUUUGAGUGGCUGAAGACCAGCACCCUCACAGGCCUACACCCACAACUACCACUCUCUUUACCCCAGCCCGAGUGCGCUCUACCAUACCUUGUUCGUGCUUUUAGCAGGGGUGAUUACAUGGGCCGCAUUCAGGAAGUGGGCUGGGUGACUGCAGGACUGGUGAUCUGGGCUGGCACCUGCUACUACAUUUACAAAUUUACCAAGGGAAGAGCCCAGAGUGUGAGGACUCUUGCCAGAAAUGGAUCCACAGUUAAGAUGGAGACUGUGGUUGGGGUACAGAGCCAGACCUUGGCCAUAAAUGAAGCAGAGAUUAAGACUAAACCCCAAGUCGAGAUUGGAGCAGAAACUGGAGCAAGAAGUGGGCCUAGGGCUGAAGUAGAGACCAAGGCCACUGCUAUAGCCAUACACAGAGCCAACUCUCAGGCCAAGGCAAUGGUUGGGGCAGAGCCAGAGACUCAAUCUGAGUCCAAAGUGGUGGCUGGAACACUGGUCAUGACAGAGGCAGUGACUCUGACUGAGGUCAAGGCCAAAGCCAGGGAAGUGGCCAUGAAAGAAGCAGUGACCCAAACUGAUGCUGAGGCUGGCAAAAUAGUUAAGAAAGAAGCAGUGACACAGACCAAGGCUAAAGCUUGGGCGCUGGUUGCCAAGACAGAGGCCAAGAGAGAAGCAAUGACCCAGACCAAAGCUGAAACUCAUAUAUUGGCUGAAAAAGAGACAGAGAUUAACAGAGUAAUGGUUACACAGAGUGAGACCUUGGCAGUACCCAGGGAAGUGGCCAAGAUGGGGGCCACGAACAAGACUGGAAUUGUGGAUGAAACCAAGACAAGAGCUCUGGAAGAGACUGUGUUGAUCCCAAGAGCAUUCCCUAGUAAAAACGCUUCAUGCUGAACUCUAUCUCUGGGCCUGCUUCCUGGGAAGCCAACCUGCAACAGUUGGUACAAGAAGUGGUUCGAGAAAGCAAACACUGUGAUGAAAUUUUGGAGAUGAAUCACCUGCUACCCAGCUGUCAAUGAAGACUCCAUCAUUGGUGGUAGGUGGAGUAGAUAGGCCUCUGGAAUAAGGUAGCAGAGGAAUUGUUAAAAUUUUCAAUGGUGGUUAACUGGGUUGGCAUACUGGUAAAAUGGGACACAUUAACUGGUGCCAUGUAUCAGACCUUUGAGAAAUAUGGGAUAUAUUAAAUAUAAGGAAGGCCAGAAAAUUGGGCGGCUGUUGCUAAGCAGAUUGAGCUCUGGAAAAGAAUAACAAAAAGCUGAAUUAAAUUAAUCAACAAUUGAAAGCUAUGUUUGAAAGUCAGAUGGCUUUAUUCAUAACAUAUAAAGAGGCUCUCAUCUUUUCCAGGUAGAAGGUGGAGAAAUCUGAGGAGUAGACUCAGGAUUUGUUAAAAGCAAGCUUCAAAGAAAGUUAAAAUUCUAACCAAGACAAGUCUUCUAUGCCGAGUUAUGUGCCAUGGUUAAGAAGGAAUGGGACUCUGACACUUGGAAUGGGGGACAUCUGGAUUGAUGUCCCUAAAAAUCUUAUAUCCCCAGAUUCCCCUGAGCCCCUUGAGAAGUGUCCUACUCCUCCCUAUUAAGGGCUGGCACUCCAUCUUGCUUCAAUAUAUGGAAUCCUUUCCCCUGUAAGAUAACCUGGGUUUUCCUCAGAAUCUGCCCGCACCUCCUAUCCUGGCCACUGGGCCUAUAACUAGGGUUAAGCCACGCAUAAUCUAGCUGGUGAUGUGCUGGGUGUAAUAAGGAAAGAAAGAGAAUACACCAACAAAGAGUUUCGGGACAUAACCUAGCCAGCAUAUACUAGAAGGUGCUGAGGGAGUAAGUAUGGCAUCAAAUUCUAAGGAGCUUGAUCAGGAGGGCUGGAAUAUAAACUGGAAUAUGGGAGAAUUAAUCAAUUUGAAAGUGCUUUCCCAGAAUACAGGAUUUAAUACCCUGGAGAAAACCACAGGAAAUGACACGAACUCAUUACUGCGAUGGCUCCUCGAAGUAUGGAAAAAGCCAUGGCGUACAUAAAGUGAGGUGUAAAUGCCAGAGUUGCCAUAGAAGAUGGCGGGAAAAGGGAUCAAAGACUCAGAGAGACAUAAAGGAGAAGAUUUGGGAGAGGGAGAGGAUUAAUCCUGAUUUGAACUCUUCGAAUUUGAAGUGCUUAUGUACUAUGAUUUGAAUAUGGUUUAUCCCCAUCCAAAGUCAUGUUGAGGAUGGGUUCCCAAUGUGACAGUGUUGGGAGGUGGUACCCUUAAGAGGCAUUUGUGUCAUGGGGAAUCUCUCCUGAUGAGGGUAUGAAUGCAGUCUCUUUGGAGUGGGAGAGUUCUUGUGCUCAUGGGACUGGAUUAGUUACUGUGAGGAGGUUGGUUGUUAUAAAGUGAGUCUGCCUCUUGUGCUUGGUGUCUUUUGCGUGUACCUGUUUCCCCUUUUGUUUCUUUGCCAUGUUUUGAUGCCCUCAAAAGAAGUUGUCGGAUGUGACUGCCCAGUCUUGAACUUCCCAGCCCUCAAAACUAACAGAACAUAUCUUCCAGUAGCUUCCUGAGAAAGUGUAUAUGCAAAGCACACUUCUGAGAUCUUUCAGAUGGUUUUGCCACAUUGCCCAGGAUGGCCUUGAACUCCUGGGCUCAAGUGAUCCACUUGCCUUGGCCCCCCAAAGUGCUGGGAUUACAGGUUGCUAUGAAAAGAAAAAUCAUGAUAUUAAAUUUGUUGAAAGAUAUAAAUUUAUAAAUUCAAGAAGUUUCAUGAAUUCCAAAUGGAAUAAUCUCAAAGAAAACCACCUCUAGGCACAUCUUAUUGAACUGCUGAAAAUGAAAAGUAAAGAAAAAAUUUUAGACUGAUCAUUCCAAGAUGGCCAAAUAGGAACAGCUCCGGUCUACAGCUUCCAGUGUGAUCGUUGCAGAAGACGGGUGAUUUCUGCAUUUCCAACUGAGAUUUUAGCAUCGAUAUUAUGGAAGCUAUGCCUGGACUCAACAACACGAACUUCUACUCACCAAGGCUGAUCUUGUACUAAUACUAAGUGCCCAACCUGACAACAGAGAAGAUGAUGAGCCUUUAUAAGACACCAUUCCUUAGGGGCAUCAGCCAGUCCCAUGGUGUUAGGAUUAUUACAUGGGACACCUUUCAUCAUCAUGAAAACAGAAACUUUUCCUCAUGGAAAUGAAUAUGUAUUUUAGACACACAUUUACCUUCUUUGCUGACAAUGAUUCUGUCAUCACCAUCUCCAUGGACUUCCAGAAUGCCUUAAUCAUCAUCAGAGUAUCCUACACAAAGUUGUCUCUGACCAAGGAACUCAUUUAAUGGUAAGUGAAGUGCACAUCCAAAGAUUCACUAGUCUUUACUACUUACUUUACCAUGCAGAAGCAGCUUGCCUUACACAAAAAUAAAUAACUUACUGGAAGCUUAGUUAUGGGAUCAGCUGUUCCUGGGAGUACUGUACGACAAGAUUGCAAUAGAUGCUUUAACAGAGCCACCCAUAUAUGGUGCUUUUUUUCCCCAUAGUGAGGUUACACAGGACUAGGAAUAAAGAAGUCAUGAAAGCAGUGGCCCUUUUCACUAUUGCACCAGUUAACCUACUGAAGAAGUAUGUGAUUCUUUUUUUCUGUCUCCACAACCUUGGGCUCUUAGGUAUAUCAGGGAUGAAUGCUUUCACCAGGGAAUAAAGCCAUGGUUCCAUUAUAUUAAAAGCUGAGACUACAUUCUGGCCAUUUUUGUCCUCUCGUGCCACUGAACUGACAGGCAGGGAAAGGGGCUGCUAUAGUGGCUAGAGGGAUUGAGCCCAAUUACUAAGGGGAAAUAAGGUUGCUGAUAUACAAACAGGGAGAGCAAUGCUCAGAGCCCAGGGAUACUCACUGGGGCACCUCCUAGUACUGCUUUGCCUAAUAGUCCUGGGAAGUGGGAAAGUGCAGAAAUUCAAUAAAUACAGGAUUGAAGAUUAGGGUCACUACAUCAGGGAAAUAAUUUUGACCAGGUUUCUGUAAGGGGAAUAUGAAAUGGGUGGUAGAAGAAUGAAGUUGAUUAUUGACUUUGGCCUCAUGAUCAGCUUCAGUGGGAAACUGUAACAGCUAUGCACAUCUUUGUUAAUUUAUUUUUCUCUUCCUUUCCUCUGAUUAUAUGAAAAAUACUUGAGAUAAUUGUUAUAAAUCAGGUUUCAGGUGGGCGAAUAUGAUUGAAUUAGCAUUAUCCCGUGACAGUACGGUGGCUGAUGGGAUUUUUUUUGUCCCUGCCUCCCUGUUGGGAGAAUAGAAUAACAAGAAUAGAUGCUGAAUGUGAAAGGAGUGGGCCAUGGUGGUUAGUCUUUAUUUUCCCACACAUCCUGAUUCAUUUCCUGUCCUUCUCUGUCUUGUUCUAUGCCCUGGGCGGCUGAUCCUUAGGGACUGCAUCCCCCAGACUCCAUUUGUAAUUGACUUCUGCUUGGGUUUGGUCAAUGGAAUGCCCUGGCACAGCUUUGGAGGGAAGAAGAGAGAAGACAAUGUAUUUCUUCACUGCUCCCACUCUGAUUUGGGCUAUGUUUUAUUGGCAGGGACUGCAUCCCUUCAAGAUUUUAGCUUCUUCCAGAAGUCCCCUCCUCCAUGACUCUAGCUCUCACUAGGCUCCAGAAAUACUAUUUCUUCCUCUUGCCCUCUUAGGCCUAGGGUAACAGCUACCUGCUAUUGCUAACCUCUGGGUGCCACAAAAUUGCUUGUUGGGUCUCAUAAUCUUGCAUAUACCUCUGUAAGUAGUCCCUACAUUAAAGUCCCUUGAACCAUCUGAUUUAGAUUUUUUUACUGGCUAGGACUCUGACUGAGGUGCUGGUGUGAGGCCUAGAAUUACUGCAGCUAUUUUGAUACCAUUAGAAUGCACAGUCAAGGAUAAAGCUUUCAUGUAAGGAAGGGUAUAGCAGAGAAAAUUAUAGAAAAAUGAAGCAGAAUCUUAAUCAAAUUGUACUUAAAGUCAGAUAACUUCUGGAUGCAACUCACUGAAGUAAGAAUAGGUGGAUAUUUCUUAAAUAUGACAAAAAUAUAUACAUUUCUAACAAGAAGCCUUUCAUGUUUAAGGGAUAAACACUAGAAGCAUUUCCAUUAAAAUUAGGAAAAAGACAAGAAUGCCAGUUAUUUCCACAAUUAUUUAACAUUGUUCUAGAAGUACUAGUUAAUGCAGUCAACCAAGAGAAAGAAAUGUAAUAUUGAUAUUGGAAAGGAAGGGGCAGGCAAGAUUAUCAUUACCACAAAUGAAGCAAAUCUAAGAGAAUCAACUAAAGACUACUUGAAACCUUUGGAACUCCAUAAAAAGGCUGGUUAUGAAAUCAAUAGAAUAAAAACUGAUCACUUUCAUAUAUAAAAACAACAAACAAAAUGUAAAAUAAGAAAAAAAAUCUAAAUUACAAUAGCCAUGGGAAAAGAUAAGCUCCUUUUGAAUAAACUUAACAAAAAAAUCUGUAAGACAUAUCCAUUCAUUCAGUAAAUAUGGAUUGAUAACCUACAGUGUGCCAGGCAAUGUUCUAGGAGUUAUUUUUAUUUAAAAAAUUUAGAAACUGCUGAGAAAAAUAAAGACAAAUAAGUAGAAAAACUGGGUUGUUGGAUAGAAAGAUAUUCCUGUAAAGAUGCCAAUUAUCACUCAGUUAACUUAUAAAUUAUGUGCAACACAAAUUGAAAUUAAAAACGGUAGUUUUUAGGGGACUAUAACAAAAUAACAGAUUUUAGUCUCUAAAUAAAUACAUGUGAACAGGCAGGUAAUGAUAAAAAAGAUGAGUUAUGAGAGACCUUACCCUUCAGAUAUUGAAACAUAUUAUGAAGAUACUAUAGUUAAAACAGUUUGUUAUUUAAGAAGAAAGAAAAGAUAACAGAUUAAAAGAAUAUAAUAAAGAAUAAAGAAAUAGAUACAAACAUAUGUGGAUGUUUAGAUUAUGAUAAUUAUGGUAAAGAUGGCACUUUAUUUUUUAUUUUUUGGGUAUUAUACAUUUAAUUUAAAGACUUCGAAGUAAAAAAAAAAGGUACAGAAAUACAGAUUACAUUGUGAUGACCCCAGUAGUAUUCUACAUGACAAAAAUAAAAACAGAUUUAAGUAAAUGUAUCGGCACUGAACAAGCAUUUACUUAACAUCCAAUCCAGGCUGCAUAUGCACAAAAUGAUCUGACCACAUGCUUAUGCAAAGUAGUUUUUCUUAGAACGCCAAAAUUCCAACCAUUCUGACUGUCCGCUGCGCAUUCCCCUGUUGAGUAUUUUGAGCGAACUUCUAUAGAAUAUAAAAACAAUUGGCAUGGCACUUAAAGACUGCAAAAAACAGAACACAAUUAAAAACAUUUAUAAUGCAUUUCUGUAUAAAAUAUACACCAUAAAGACCACCCUGAAUAAUGGUUAAAACCUCAUCAUAGAAAAAUGCUCAUCAUUUUGCACAUUAUUGAUAGAAACUACUGAGAGGUUUUCUUGGGGGGCUGGUGGGAAGGUAGACACCCAACUUAAAGAUUCAUUCAAAAUUUGCUUUAAAUUGUGGGUAAUAACUCACUGCUUACCCCUCUCAAAAUGUUUUAUCAUGAAUACUCUAAUAUUUAACCACAGGACAAACAUAAAGAAUAACCUGAAGAAGGUGUUUCUCAAAGUGAAGUUGAAGGCUCCAAAAGAAGUCUAAGGUGGGCCCACUAGUGUGCAUUUUAAACAAACUUCCUAGGUGAUUAUUUCACAUUCCAAAAUCUGAGAACUAAUGCCCUGUGGGAAACAGCACCACUUAAAAGCAAGGCCAUAACAUAUUUCUGACAUGAGAUACAGAAUUCUAAGUUUAUGAUUUGAAGUGAAUACUGCUUUUUGUUUUAAAACAAGUUUCAGAUGUUAAGAGAAACAUAUUAAAUAAACAUGUGCAUGUAUAUAAACAUUUUCCUUUGAGGUUUUCAUUGCUUUCAGACUUAUGUUAUUUGAAGGAAAGAGAGUACACAGCUAGAAACUUUGGAAAAAUGACAUUUCCAAUGAAAUGUAGCAUCCACCCCUCCAAAAAAAGAUAAUUUAUUAAAUGCCUACAAAUUUUGAAACAUUUGAAAUUUAAACUAGGACACUUUCCUAAAAUUAAGUUUUACUAAGAUUAAAAAACUUUAAGUAAUUUAGAUGAUCAUGGUUACUUUUUAAGUCCCUUUUCAUUAAAAAAUAUUUAAAAUAAACAACAGAAGGAUGCUAUAUUUGGCACCCCCUUAAAUAAACUGCUAAACACUAAUAUUAAUAAAAAAUAAUCCAAGGAACUCUGCCUCUGAAAUGUAUUCUACUAUGUGUUACAUGUGUUAUCCAGUUAAUAAAAACUCACUGAAAGAGCUGA